CGUCAAGUCGCCGCGACGCGGCGCGGGAAAGCUCCUGCACAUGCGUUCUCGCGGCGGGAAAUUGCGUUUGAAGUCCCGCCGUCGUCUUCGGCAGUCUGAUUCGUCGCGGAGGUCCAGCGCACGUUCCCCGGGGGCUUCCGCCCAAAUCGCGCGUGUCGUGUAGAUAGAAGCAGACCCCCGCGCGUGUAGAGAGCACACCUGGACUUGGGCCGUCUACUUGUUGCCGGCGCGGUUCUAUUUCGGUUCCGCCAUGUCCCUUGUCUCGCUGUUUUUGUUCCGUGCGCCACCAAAACAAACACGAAUCACUGGACUCUUUGGCUUCGUGUCAACUUGGAUUUGAAUUCCCGCCCCCGCGCGCCGAGGGCUCCGAUGUCGCUAAUCCGCGUUGACAUCCACUUGAUAAUUGUGCGUGGUAUUUAUGUUCGUCCGUCCCGCGGCGGGAAAGUGCUGUUGUACACGUUUUGAGACUCAAUAACCAGCUGAUCGGUACUGAUUUGGGGACUGGUUUAAAACAGUAUGAAAGUUGAUGAGGAACGACUGAUCCUUCCCCAAGCUCGGAAACCUCUGUUGUACGAGCUCGUCGGAUUACGUUUGUAUCUUUGAAGUUGAUGCUUCUGAUUUUGAAAGCCGUGUGUCCACAACAUCAAUUUUGAUGUAUGGCCCGUCCAAGUUCUGCUUUAAAGUUUCAGAUAAAUUGAAGAAUGAAAACUCCACUCUAACUCAAUGAGAAACAUGGUGGUGUCUAGAUCUUCACCUCAACCUGCAUUCAGACAUGCAAUGUCGCCGACGAUGCGCACUCACCCAGGGGUCCCGUCUUACACCGGGUACGCUCAAAGGGGCACAGGGCCCCUACGAGUGACCAUCUACGAAGACGUACCUCCCAUGAUGAAAGUCAAGUUAAAUUCUCACCAAGUUAGCAGAUACGACACCAGGGACGAUUCCGCUAUCCUAAAUAGGUACACAGAAGACGUGCCAAUUUUGCGUAAAUACGGGCGUAGUCACUCGACACAUGAACUGAUAGAUUUAGAGGACCGGGCAGCAGUAACUUCGUCACCAAAUCGGAGAGUGAGGUUCGACAUUCCUGACGAAUCAGUUCCAUGCCCCACUAUCCACUGGAAAGAUUGUGAUCUCGUUAAUUUCAGGGCUUUGCCUGUCGAUGACAGUCCUUUAACCGCCUCCGACAAGCUACAAAACAGUGAUCUUCCAUCCAACACGACUCCCUUCGACCCGGCGGCCCUUUGA
This 1242-nucleotide long non-coding RNA is filed under the name Bemisia tabaci. RNAcentral describes it as "lncRNA ENSSSA1NGG003171". Lineage: Eukaryota; Metazoa; Arthropoda; Insecta; Hemiptera; Aleyrodidae. The record is from RNAcentral.